Molecule: ribosomal RNA, 492 nt
Filed under: uncultured bacterium
Lineage: Bacteria
Description: partial 16S ribosomal RNA
Rfam family: Bacterial small subunit ribosomal RNA
Source: RNAcentral
AGUGAACGCUGGCGGUAGGCCUAACACAUGCAAGUCGAACGGCAGCACAGUAAGAGCUUGCUCUUACGGGUGGCGAGUGGCGGACGGGUGAGGAAUACAUCGGAAUCUACUUUUUCGUGGGGGAUAACGUAGGGAAACUUACGCUAAUACCGCAUACGACCUACGGGUGAAAGCAGGGGAUCUUCGGACCUUGCGCGAUUGAAUGAGCCGAUGUCGGAUUAGUUAGUUGGCGGGGCAAAGGCCCACCAAGGCGACGAUCCGUAGCUGGUCUGAGAGGAUGAUCAGCCACACUGGAACUGAGACACGGUCCAGACUCCUACGGGAGGCAGCAGUGGGGAAUAUUGGACAAUGGGCGCAAGCCUGAUCCAGCCAUACCGCGUGGGUGAAGAAGGCCUUCGGGUUGUAAAGCCCUUUUGUUGGGAAAGAAAAGCAGCAGGUUAAUACCCCGCUGUUCUGACGGUACCCAAAGAAUAAGCACCGGCUAACUUCGUG